This 68-nucleotide transfer RNA is filed under the name Aleurochiton aceris. RNAcentral's name for it is "tRNA-Thr". Lineage: Eukaryota; Metazoa; Arthropoda; Insecta; Hemiptera; Aleyrodidae. The record is from RNAcentral.
AUUUUAAUAGUUUAAUAAAAAUACUGAUUUUGUAAUUCUGAGUUGUAGAUAAUAAUCUAUUUAAAAUC